RNAcentral lists this non-coding RNA (24 nucleotides) under Mus musculus (house mouse). The record is from RNAcentral. Lineage: Eukaryota; Metazoa; Chordata; Mammalia; Rodentia; Muridae.
UGAUGGACUCCGAAGCACAUGAGA